This is a non-coding RNA of Triticum urartu, 2272 nucleotides long. Lineage: Eukaryota; Viridiplantae; Streptophyta; Magnoliopsida; Poales; Poaceae. The record is from RefSeq and is a predicted model, not a curated record.
GCAGAGUCAGGCUGCAGAGCCCAAGCCAAAUCCCCUCGGUCUGGUUGAGCCGAGCGGUUCUAUUCCGCCGGUAGGGUUAGUGGCCGCCGGUCCGCUGCCGCCGCCGCCGGCCGACGCGUUCACCUUCCUCCUCCGCCCUCCCGUCCCUGAAGCUGCCCCGAGGUUCGAGCCGUCGCCGCCGCCGUCGGGUUCGCUGGAUGUGUCCCCCCUGACCCAGCGCGCCACUCGCCGCUCCUCCCCGUCAACCACCGCCGGCCGGAGCGCCUCCCCACUUCUCCACCGCCAUCUAGGCCCCGCUCGCCCCCUGCGCCGCCGCCCGGAGUCGUACCUGCAGCCGCCUCCCCGUUCCCCACGCAGUGCCACACAGACCUAGCAGCUAGCUACCUCUGAAGGAAAAAAAAACUUGUGGCCACCAUGCCAGCAGCACCGCCGCCGACGCUCCCUGAGGAGCUUGUCGAAGAGAUCCUCCUCCGCAUCCCGCCCGACGAGCCUGCUGGCCUCCUUCGCGCCUUCCUCGUCUGCAAGUCCUGGAGCCAGGCCGUCUCCCAUCGCGGAUUCCGGCGCCGCCUCCACGAUUCCCACCAGGCACCACCCGUGCUCGGGUUUCUCCAUGAUUGGGACGACGAGGACAUCCCCGACUUCAUCUCUGCCACUGUGUCGCCCUUCUCCCUUGCCGUCCCAGACAGCUGGCUCUGGCAGGCCGUUGACUGCCGCCACGGCCGCGCACUCUUCCUCUCUGAUGACCCUUAUGCUGAGGAACUCCUGGUGUGGGAGCCAAUCACGGGUUCCCAGCAGCGUGUGCCAGUGCCCGUGAUGUCUGAUAUCGGCCGCACAACCGCCGCAGUGUUCUGCGCAGCAGACGGGUGUGACCACUGCAACUGCCAUGGGGGCCCUUUCUGCGUUGUCUUCGUCUUCUCCGUCGACAGCGAAGAUCCUGAUGACGGGGAAUAUGACACGGCGGCAUGUGUAUACUCGUCAGAGACCGGUGCUUGGGGUGAGCUGACCUUGAUGCAUGGGGAGUUUUACAUGCAUUUCACAUAUUAUUCCAGUGUGCUUGUUGGGGAGUCUUUGCUCUACUUCAUGACUGAUGGUGGGUUGAUCCUGGAGUAUGACAUGGCAAUGCAUGGGCUGACUUGGUUCAAGGCACCAUACUCUUGCUACUCUAAGGGUAUACCCAGUUACAUUCUCAUGCCGGCAGAGGACGGUGGACUGGGACUCGUUGAAGAAUUGGAUCCGCAUCUGAAAUUGUGGUCAAGGGAGAUGACUGAUGCCCGAUGGAUACCCAGCCGGAUUAUCAACUUGGGAAGUUUGUCUCUAAAUGGUGCUCAAAUGGGUGCAACAUGUCCGGUCCACGUGUUGGGCUUUGCGGAGGGAGCAAACGUCAUUGUCGUGACCACUGCUACCGGCCUCUUCAGAGUUCAAAUCCAAUCAGAGGAGAUAACCAGGGUGUGCGAUGAUCAUGGAUAUGGUAACCUGAUUCCUGUUGUCGGCUUCUACACUCCUAUGCCUCGAGUGGCAGAAGCUGAAGCAUAAGCUGGUGGGUUGCAUUGAAAAUGGUGAAUCCUGGAGUGCAGCCUGAUCGACAGAGGUGGAGUUGGCCUUGAUCUAUCUGGUGUUGCAGAGCGUCGAUGGCCUUGUAAAGCUUUCAGUAAAAGCUGGGCUUUGGGGUCUUCCUGUAAAAUACACCAACUGUCAUUUCAUUUUGUUUUCUCAGCCAUGAAUACACCCAUCUGGACACUCACUAGUCAGAAAUAUUAUAUGCUCUUAUCAAGUGCGCAAUCCAGGAAUGGGCAGUCUAUACAAGUUGUGCUGCAGCUUAAUAGUAAUGUUUACGUAUCUGAACAGCAGCCGGUACGCCAGGUUCGUCAGAGUUAACAGGCUAGGUAGAUGAGGCAGCAGCUGUAGCACUUGAACGUUUUCUUCUCAGGUUCUUGCUUUGCUAGAACUGAACUGCAUUUUAAUAAUUAAGUUUCAGCCUUGUAAGUAAGUCGACAGCAGGGAGAGUGGAUGCACUGAUCAGCAUACAGCAAACAUUCAUGAUCUUCCAAGGUCGCCGUCGUCGUCAUCUCGCAUGUAGGCAAGAGGGAACGAAAACAGAGGAGGCCCUGUUUUGAAUCUUGGACCUUCAGGGUUCAGGUUCAGGUUCGUCAAGAGGCUGACGCACACCUGCAAAGAAACAUUUAUAAAGUCGUGAAUCACGACCACUGGAUGAAAUUAAUUGCCUUUGAAAUCGUUGACCAUGAAGCACUUCCUCGAGACUCAUUGCGUGUUA